GGAAGAAGCAAGACAGAAGGGGGCGGAAGACAGAAAAAAAAGGGCGAGAGAAACAGGCUGCGUUCUUUUGCUUGGAUUUUUGUUUGGAUUUGUGGAAUCACCAUUAAUGAAUAUAUAUGCAAUCAGAUAUAUAUAUAUAUAUAUAUAUUAUGUAGAAAUGUCCAUGAAAGCAACAAUAACCAAUUUGUCGAUUAUUGCUCCCUGCUUCCAUUAUCUGUGAUUUAAUUAUUUUUAUUUUAUAAAACCAUGCAUCCAUCAUAACUUUUCUCCAACCUACCUGACCCAAUGCCAAAUAAUGUUUUGUAUAUGUUUACAAUGAUGUAAUGUGGCCAUUGAAAUGAUCUCAGAAUGAGAAAGUGAUCAAUUGUGUUUCCGAAGUUUUGUGUCAUGAAAGAUAAUCCUAAGAUUCAACAAUUUUUAAACAUUUUUACAUUUACUUGGUAAAGGAUGAAUCCAACUUCAAUCUUAGCUUUUUCAUUAUUUAUUAUGCUGCUUUUCUAUUUCGAAGUUCUUAUUUGUUUUACUUAGCUUUAAUUUCAUUUGAUUAGCUUUAUUAGAUUACAUUUAGAGUAUGUCUAUGCUUUGAAGCUCUGACAUUUCCAGGUUGUGAUUUGGUUUAAGGUUUUGUGCUUGCCUUUGCUUCUGUGCAUAAAGAAAUUUAAGUGUUUUUCUCAAUUUGUUUUGUUCUGUACAUUCAAUUUAAUUAUUUUUGUCAAUUUCUUUUCGUAAUUUAUUUUUCUCAGUUUGGGUGAUUUGAACACCUAAAUUAUGUUCUGUUUUAUAUCCUGUUGAUUCAAAGAAUGGCCCUUUCUUCUGCCAAUCAUUUGAACCUGAAUGAUUAAAAACAGUUCACAUUUGCUUCCAUUUCCAGGCUGUCAUUUGGUUUAAGGUUUUUUAAAUUUCCUUUGCCUCUGUGCAUUUCAAUUUCAAUGUUUUUGUCAAUUUACAGUGCUUGCUAAAUCGAUUUCAAGGGUGGAAGUAUAGCUAAAACCCUCAAGAGUUUUAGUUACUUAUACUAUUUCCCCAUACUUUCCAGAUUUCGUUUUGGAUCUUAAUAAUAGUUGCUAUAUUGCUUUAAAUUGUCAAUGAUUUCAGUUCUUUGUUUUAUUUUCUUUUUGGAACUCAUGAGUGUGCAGUUUGAUCACUGAGUUUGACAAACAAAUAUAUAGAACUUUUCAAAUAGACUUUAAAUUUAUCCCAUAGAUUUUCUCCUUUUCUUUUUCUGAUUGUUGUUGCCAUGCUGAGAAAAAAAAUUAUAUUAAUGACUGUUCAUUUGCCUCUAUAGUAUUUCUUAGUUAUUUUGAUCUCCACUGGUUCUCUACAUGGUGUGGUUUUUCAAUCAGUUAGCAGUUUUUAAAAAUUGAAAAACAUUAUAGUUGUAAGCGUAAUCAUUUGAUUAGUCUGCCUUAUAGCAUAAUUCCUGGACACCAAGGAUCUAACCAUGUACAAGGCCCAACUAUAUAGUUUGUUUCUAUUUGCACCUGGUAGGCUUUCAUUUCAGUAUAGCCUUUCAUUUCGUUUCAUAUAGGUUAGGCUUCUUUUUCACCAUUAGCUAUCUUCUGAUGAUAGUUUAAUAGCACUUGGGAAUUUAGCGCAAAUAAGUUAUCUACUCUAUUUAUUUCUACUGAGCAAUAUAUCUUUGCCGAGUAAUAUAGUUGCCCGUUUCUCUGUUUCGAUUAUUUUAUCUGAUAAGAACUCAUAAGUUGCCUAUGUUUAAAGCUACUUCAUUUGAUUGGUGUUUUAGUUUGUGUGGUUUACCCAGAAGAAAUCUAACACUGUAAGAAGCUGGAUUCUGGUGGAAAUUGGACAACUUUGUGGGGAUUUCAAGGUCUUUCUGAGAGGUGAAUGUUUUGGAAGAUUUUAUAAAUUUGGAUCAUUUAAGGAAGAAGUUGGUUCCAUCCUGUUUUGAGUUUAGAUCAAAGUCUCAUUACAACGUCGUGAUCUGCUCUUCUUCUGCCUUUGAUCUAGGGGUUCAGACCUAUUGCAUUUGAAUCAAGGCUUUGGUUCUGUUUUUAUCGUUACAGUCCUUUAUUCUUUUUUGGUGGCAUUCAUACGCAUCUACGCUUUCGUCUAUAUAACGAUUAAUGGAGCAGCAACCAAUUCGUUUACUGAAGCCAUACCAGCCAACAAACAAACUCCAAAUUAGGGUAUGCAGAAUGUGGACCACAAAGAGCAUCGGAGAUAAUCCUCAACCUAUAAGUCUUGAUUGUGUCUUUAUUGAUAAAGAUGGAGAUGUGGUUCACAUAACCAUGAACGCUCGAGACAUCCAAUUUUUUUGGACCAUCUAAGUGUAGGCAAUGCAUACGAAAUAAACAAAUUUCGUGUCGUACACAACAGGAGAUCAAGCAAGGUUAUCCUUCAUGCUGCGAUGAUUGAAUUGAAUAAGAACAUCACAAUCGUUCCUAUUCACAAAACAAGUCAAGAGCUCCCAAUGCACUGGUUCAAUUUAAUUGAACUUGAUCAACUUUAUCAAAGAAUCAACAACGAUGUUGAGCUUACAGAUGUGUUUGGUUGCCUAACGGCUGUACAACCGACUGAAGAGAUCACUAUCCAAAAGACAAGAGUUGCAAAAAAGAGAAAUCUUAGCCUAAAAAAUAUUAAAGACGAAUCAGUGAGAAUCACCUUAUGGGGAGAGAUUGCAACAAAUUUUGAGAACAGUGGAAUACAAUCGCUUUUGCCACCUGUAUUUGUGGCUUUAACAAGCCUCAAGGUCAACCAAUACCAAGGAAAUCCUAUUCUCGGAAGCACAUGAUCAACCGUUUGUGUUUUCAAUCCGGAGAUUCCGCAACUCUCCGAAUACAAACACAAGUUUAAACAUCUUAGAUCACCUGUUCAAAUCCUACCACCUCAGCUGAGAUGUAUAAAGGGUGCGCAGUCGAUGCUAAUGCUGAAUCAAAAACAAUUGACCAAUUGCUACUACUUGAUCCUGCAUUGCACAAGAAUACAAGUUUCGUAUGCCAAGCAACUAUUGUUGGAUUUGAUUUGACUAGGGGUUGGUGGUACAAAUCAUGCCCGUCCUGCCAUAAAGUUGUCAAAAACAACUCUAGAUCGUUUGAGUGCAAUGAACAUGGUUUCAUAAACAGAUUACCCGAACCAUGAUCUGAUUGUGGAAGACAAUACGAAUCAACACAACUUUCUCAUGAUAAGAAAGCACGCUGAAAAAAAUACUUCGUGUUUCUUGCCACACUUUGGUGAUAGAGGAUGGAUAUGAGGAUCCUUUCAUAGUUCCACCAACUCUAAAAAAUUUGGUUGGCGAGACAAAACAAUUUCAGCUCUCUUUUGGAAGCCAAAACACUAACUUUGGGAAAACGGAUUUCAUCGUUCAUGGACUACUACAAGAUCAACCGCACUCAAACCCAACAAUUGCCUUAAUCACACCACAAACACCUGUUACCACCGUAGGAAAACAAAUUUUAACUGAAGCGACCCUUUCCCAGCAACUACAUCAACAACCCCAACCAACUACACCCACAAAGACUUCAAAGAGAGCGUUGUUUCCUGAUCAAACAGAGAAAUCUGACAGCAAAAAACCUCGCGGCGACCAAACAGAGACAACCAAUUCUGCCAGAAUUGCUAGAGAAUUCCACAAUAUGGUUGUCCCCAAAAUUGAACCAGCCGACAAAGUGCCGUUAGCCGCACUCAGAACAAAAUCUCAAAGCAAAAAACCCAAAGAUAGUGUGGAAGAUGUCUACUCUCAAAAAAAGUGAACAAUGCAAUCUCCGUAAUCGACUGCUGCAAGCCAUUCUACAUGUUUUCAGCUAUCAACAUUUUUGCUUCAACACCUACAUGUUCUUUGCCUUGCAUGUUUGUGCUUGGAAACUUAGAUGCUAGAAUGAGAACAAAACAGUCUUUAUCUUUUCUGUGAACUAUAUGUUACUUCUGUUUCUUCUAUAUAUUAGGGAACCAAAACGUUUCGUUUCGUCCUGUUAAUUGUACAAUGCAGUUCAAGGUGAUGCAUUCAAGCCCCGCAGCAUCGCGCGGGCAUUUUUUCUAGUGUAUACAAUAAUGACAAGGAGACAUGAAUGAUGAAUUAACAGCAACAUACACGAUGUUUGUGCAA
Non-coding RNA from Malus domestica (apple), 4060 nucleotides. The record is from RefSeq and is a predicted model, not a curated record. NCBI's taxonomy places the organism in Eukaryota, Viridiplantae, Streptophyta, Magnoliopsida, Rosales, Rosaceae.